Molecule: ribosomal RNA, 394 nt
Filed under: Bacillus sp. ZA57
Lineage: Bacteria; Bacillati; Bacillota; Bacilli; Caryophanales; Bacillaceae
Description: bacterial SSU rRNA
Rfam family: Bacterial small subunit ribosomal RNA
Source: RNAcentral
CAUGGUGUGUCAGUUUGGGUGGCGAGGCAACCCUUGAUCUUAGUGCCAGCAGGGGCACUCUAAGGUGACUGCCGGUGACAAACCGGAGGAAGGUGGGGAUGACGUCAAAUCAUCAUGCCCCUUAUGACCUGGGCUACACACGUGCUACAAUGGACAGAACAAAGGGCAGCGAAACCGCGAGGUUAAGCCAAUCCCACAAAUCUGUUCUCAGUUCGGAUCGCAGUCUGCAACUCGACUGCGUGAAGCUGGAAUCGCUAGUAAUCGCGGAUCAGCAUGCCGCGGUGAAUACGUUCCCGGGCCUUGUACACACCGCCCGUCACACCACGAGAGUUUGUAACACCCGAAGUNGGUGAGGUAACCUUUUAGGAGCCAGCCGCCGAAGGUGGGACAGAUG